RNAcentral lists this ribosomal RNA (642 nucleotides) under uncultured Staphylococcus sp. RNAcentral describes it as "bacterial SSU rRNA". It matches the Rfam family "Bacterial small subunit ribosomal RNA", at positions 129 to 758 of the family's 1533-position model. The record is from RNAcentral. Lineage: Bacteria; Bacillati; Bacillota; Bacilli; Caryophanales; Staphylococcaceae.
CCUAUAAGACUGGGAUAACUUCGGGAAACCGGAGCUAAUACCGGAUAAUAUAUUGAACCGCAUGGUUCAAUAGUGAAAGACGGUUUUGCUGUCACUUAUAGAUGGAUCCGCGCCGCAUUAGCUAGUUGGUAAGGUAACGGCUUACCAAGGCAACGAUGCGUAGCCGACCUGAGAGGGUGAUCGGCCACACUGGAACUGAGACACGGUCCAGACUCCUACGGGAGGCAGCAGUAGGGAAUCUUCCGCAAUGGGCGAAAGCCUGACGGAGCAACGCCGCGUGAGUGAUGAAGGUCUUCGGAUCGUAAAACUCUGUUAUUAGGGAAGAACAAAUGUGUAAGUAACUAUGCACGUCUUGACGGUACCUAAUCAGAAAGCCACGGCUAACUACGUGCCAGCAGCCGCGGUAAUACGUAGGUGGCAAGCGUUAUCCGGAAUUAUUGGGCGUAAAGCGCGCGUAGGCGGUUUUUUAAGUCUGAUGUGAAAGCCCACGGCUCAACCGUGGAGGGUCAUUGGAAACUGGAAAACUUGAGUGCAGAAGAGGAAAGUGGAAUUCCAUGUGUAGCGGUGAAAUGCGCAGAGAUAUGGAGGAACACCAGUGGCGAAGGCGACUUUCUGGUCUGUAACUGACGCUGAUGUGCGAAA